AUGACAGCUUUUUUGAUACCAAGUAUUCUUACAACUAUUGUGAUUUGUCAAAUUAACAUAUUUUUGAACUCAUCUUUGCUAUUUACCAUUUUCUGCUUAAAAGGAAUCACGUCCAAAUCCGAUAUGUCACUAGUCUACUCAAGAUUUGCGGCAGAUAUCGGUUAUAGUUGUUCAAGGCAACUGUGAUACUGGGGAUCAUUCGAACAAGUUUGUUAUUUAUAAUUUCAUUGGAUCGAAUAAUUGCUCUAUUUUCUUCUCAAUUUUACAACCCAAAUCGUCGAAAGCUUCCAUUGUCUGUCAUUUUCCUUAUCAUAUCCAGCUCGAUAGCUUUUGAUCAUUUUAUAAUGUUCGGAUAUUGUGAGAAUGUCAUAGAUACUCCAAUCGACUGCGAUAGUGCCAGAUGUUGUUAUAAUGCGUGUUAUGCUCACUUUUGGAUUUCACGGGAACAAGUUAUGUUCUGUUGUAUAGUUAUGAUGACAGUUUUGUUAUCAUUGAAGCUAGUAGUUUGCACAUACUUCACACAUAAUCAACACGCUCGAAUUUUGUCAAGAGCAACUCAAAUAGCAAUGAUUGACUCCACUACUCUUAUUUUAUUCAACCUUAUUCCAAUUCUAACUCAUGUUUGGUUUGCGUCUUCAGAUUAUCAAACAUACGCGUCUAUUACUACUCUAUCCAGAAAUCUCGGAUUUUUAAUGAAUACCUUAAUUAUUUUUCGAAUACUUAUGAGAGACAAAAAACAUGUGGUGCCUUUGAAGAUUUCUUCAUGA
This 767-nucleotide unclassified non-coding RNA is filed under the name Caenorhabditis elegans. Its description in RNAcentral is "Non-coding transcript of protein-coding gene srbc-67". The record is from RNAcentral. Lineage: Eukaryota; Metazoa; Nematoda; Chromadorea; Rhabditida; Rhabditidae.